RNA transcript from Neodiprion virginianus, 2703 nucleotides. It is a transcript of the gene named endoplasmic reticulum junction formation protein lunapark-B, with no coding region annotated. The transcript has 10 exons. The record is from RefSeq and is a predicted model, not a curated record. NCBI's taxonomy places the organism in Eukaryota, Metazoa, Arthropoda, Insecta, Hymenoptera, Diprionidae.
AUAAGAUAUCAAAUGCGAAUGUGAUUCAGUCAUUCGGUGCCGUACGGUAGUUGAUUAAUUUUAAAAUCACGUUCGGGAUGUCAAGUAACCGUGCGGCGGCGGUAAAAAUGUCCCAAAUAUCGUGAUGAAUAUUAAUCCUGUCAGAUUUGCGAUGACGGUGAAAUGAUUAUCAACGGACCGUUUAGCGUGUUGAAAAAAAAUCAUCUGAAAAUAGGGAAAUCUUCGUUGUUAAUCCAGUUUCCAGUUAAAUUUCCGGUAACCGUAUUGAAUCGGCGGCAACGGCGUGUGUCAUUCAUGUCAUCAUCGCCACCGUCGGCCCCCCGUGGUCAUCGAGCUAUAAAUAUAACAUCAAGAGGCAUUUAAAUUUGGACGCGUCAAGUUUCGGUCUGCCCGUUGCCGGUGAAAACAGGCCGCAGCAACAGGAGCGGAGCGGCUGCCGGAGUUCUAUUUUCAUACCGCGCGCAAUAAAUCUUCUCGUAGCAACCGAUUUGACGUGUCACCGUUAACUCGUUGCAUUGAUAUUAACACUGCUGGUACGGGUUGCCGGUAAACAAUACCGCCUUCAAGAUGGGGAUUCUCUUUUCCAGGUUUCGAAAAAAGAAGGCCACCUAUGAGGUCCUGGAGGAUCUUGAAACGAAAAUUCAGGAAAUUGAAGAAUACAGACAAAAUACCGAGCAGACGCACAAGAAGAUUGUCGGCACGCUGAUUAUCUACAGUGUGGCUCUUUACAUUAUUGCGGCACUCGUGUUCUAUUUCUACUUCUUCCCAGCCGCUCUCUAUGAUCAAAUAUUCUAUAUGAUUCCACUACUCAUCUUUCCAAUAUUGAUAUUAUUUAUAAAAAAUUUAGUAUCCUGGUACUACAAACGAAAAAUAUCUCGAAACCAGACCAAACUCACGAGUAUGCAGCAGGAGAAAAAGAAAAUUUUGGACGAAGUUGUCGAAACUGAAACAUAUAAAAAAGCUAAGGAGAUUCUUAUGAAGUUUGCGCCUGAUCAGCUGAGGAUGACACCUCUCUCGCCGCAGCCGACGCAAGCAAAAGCUUUGCUCCGCAGUGAAAAGCCUCAUAGACCUAGCACACCUCAGGCAGUAACACCGUCGAUGCCAAGUGGGGGGCGAACUGAACUAAGAAGACGACCGUUGGUUGUCGCCAAUUUAGGACCAAACAAACAAAUUGGUAGGCUGGUUAAUCCUUCUCCAGUUCCUGUUGGCAUGAUGCCCCCGCAUACUCCGCAAUCAGUUAAUAUAUAUCCUGCUGGAACGGCUCCUAAGCAGUUUAACACCCCUGCCGCUACGCCUAGAGCGCCUUUACCACGUCCAAUACUUCCUCAACAGAGAAGUUACCUAGAUCGUUUGGUAGAGUACUUGGUUGGCGAUGGACCGUCGAAUCGCUACGCGUUGAUAUGCAGGCAGUGCGAAUCGCACAAUGGAAUGGCACUCAAAGAGGAAUUUGAGUAUUUCGGAUUCAGGUGUUGUUACUGCAACUUUUGGAAUCCUGCUAGAAAACAAAAACCCUCCGCACCAAGAUUGGAGUACGAUAAUACCCCAGUGCCUCCAGCCAUGCCAAACCUCGACGUUACCCAAACGCCGUCACCAAAAAUCACAGAACGAAUAUCAAACGUCUCAGACACUGUGUAUAAGUGUCCCGAGACCCAGCAACUGAAAUCCCAUCGUCAAUCAAUCCUUGAAAAUUGCGAGUUACCAAAUCCAACUAAACAUCGACUAUUCCUCUAUAAUAAACUGCAUUCUGACUCAUCAAGUAUUUUUAGCAGCAACGGUACGAAGCAUUGUCCGAGGCCUGCGUCACUUGCAAACUCGGAAAACAAGACUGAACAAAGAGGAAAAUGCAUUUAUCAAGUUUUAAAAGAUAAUAUCUUCAAUUCUGAUAAUAAUUAUCCUCCUGACAAAUCUUCAGAUGCUGACAAACACUUUCAUCAAGUUAAUGACCAAAAAAAUUAUACCCAGGAUAUCGAUUCUCAAAAAGUUUCUCACCGCAAAAUCUUAUCAUUUAAAAAUUCCAAUCCCCAUAGAUUAAAUGGUUACAUGUAUCCUUCAGCUUUGGUUGAAAUAUCCAAAACAUUGCCUGACAUUGCUCUCAGUAAACUUUUAACAGCUUCCGAAGACAGGAUUUUGCAUAUGAGCUCAACUGACAGACGGUUUAGUGAAAAGGUCGACAAUUUACAUGUUCAAACUGAAAUUUUGAGAAAAAUUAAUGAACAAAAAAGGAAAUUGUAUACAUAGAACCAGAUGCUGUGAGCAGUUACGAUAAAACGAUUCUUUUUCAUUUUCUUAAUCACUAAUAUAACGUGUAUAUGCAGUAAAUUAUAACAACGAUCAACAUUAUCUAAUCUGUACUUGCGCAUUUUUUAAAAACAUUGAUUCAAUAAAAUUUACGUGCGUCUUCAAUUCGUUGAAGUUUGGCUGAUCAGACGGGUUCAUUAUGCCCGUAAAUACUUGAAGUAAUUGUAGAAAAAAUCAGUAUAAAUACGGACCGAUAUUUAGGUGCGUUUAAGCUGACUCAUCCUAUACGAUGAACCUUGGAAGUGGUAUCAGUUACAAUCUGUAUUGUUGUUUCAAUGAUAUCAAUUACUAUAGAGCUCGUAUUGUUUUCACGUUUAUAAAGAGACUCUGAUAUAGAAGUUGUUGAGAAGCCUGAAAGUAUGGAAGACAGUACGGAGGAAAAGUCUGCCGACGAAAAAGAGGAAG